Molecule: long non-coding RNA, 2229 nt
Organism: Mauremys reevesii (Reeves's turtle)
Lineage: Eukaryota; Metazoa; Chordata; Testudines; Geoemydidae
Exons: 7
Source: RefSeq, a predicted model, not a curated record
GGGGAAGGUCUGUCUCCUGAGUGAGGAGACCUGCACCUGGGACAGCGCAGUGCUGGGCAGGCUUGGGGGAGUAAAAGGGAACUCCAGCCCGCUACCUGCCAGGCUGCAGGCCCUGAGGGAAGGGCCUAGCCAGUGCAAAGGGGCCGAAGGGGAAGCGGCCCAGGGAGAGAGGCGCACAAGGGAGAGAAGGAGGGCAGGAAGGCUGCCACCAAAGGGUCCCUGGGUCCCCCCCUUGCAUGAACACCCAGCCAGUGGAUGUGGUGAUAGUGGACUGCACCAGACCCCUGACGCUAGGGGUUAGACAUUGGGGUGUGGUUGACCAUGGUGGCUGGGGUGCAGAGACCCCCGGAAGGGGGUGAGACCGGAGCAGUGGGCACUGCUGGAGGGCAGUGUCCUGAAGAGGACGCCACUGAGCAGGAAGCAACUUGGGUCCAGACAACAACAAAGGAGCAGAGGACAGAUGGGACACCACCAGCAGCGGGCACCCCACCAAGGACUGAGCUAAUUCUCGGAGUGACCAGCGGGAGGCACCGCGGUGAAUGCUAGAAUACUUAUACUCAGAACACUUUACUGCUGUGACCAGGUACCUGUAGUCAAGGAGACGCUCCAUGAGGCGAGUAACUGAUGUAACAAAAGAGACGCCAGUCUCCCGCCACGUCUCUUGUUCAAUCUUCUCCAGCAGGCUGUUUGGAAAUGAAGAGGCAGCAUAUGAGGCUUUCCUAGAAAUGGUAUAGAUCCUACAGGGAGCCAGGAGCAACUUUCUUUCUCUCUCAUACAGAAGACUGACAGAAUUACAGUCUUACCUGGGGUAGGGCCCAAAGAGCUGGGUUCUACUCCAUGCAGCAUGAAGCAAAGACACAAAAAGAUGGAAUUGGCAGCAAAAGUUAAACUGUUAAAUUCUGGUCUCUAAUGAGCAAUCCCAGUUCAACAUCUUGCAUCACAACUGUUAUCAGAGAUACCAUCAGCCGAAGCAAGGGAAACACAGAACAUUGUUUUUGCCAGGUGACUCCCAAGCAGUACCCCUGGAGGAGGGUGGAAGUUCACUGACAUGUACAUUACAACAUAGCUCUGCCAAAACAGUGUCGUCCCUGGCCUGCUGAGUGAUGGCACAAUGAAUGGUAAAUGUGUGAACAGAGGACCACGUUACAGCUCUACAGAUGUCCUGGAUAGGGAUGUGCACCAGGAAGGCCGACAAAGACGCCUGCGCUCUCACUGAGUGGGCUCUGACAAUCGGCGGCGGAACCCCUCGUCCACUUGACCAGGGCCCUGCUGAUGAGCGGAAUCGGAGGGAACGUGUAGGGGCAGGCUCCCUGACCACGACAGGAGGAAGGCGUCUGAGAGGGAGCCAUUGCUCAGACCUUGACGAGAAAAAAACCAGUGGCAUUUCCUGUUCUGUCUGGUAGCGAACAGGUCCACUUGGGGAGUUCCCCACCUUUGGAAGAUCAUGCAGGCUACCUCUGGAUGGAGCGACCACUUGUGUUGAGGGGAGAAGCCCUGCUGAGCUGGUCCGCCGGCAUAAUUCUGAUGCUGGGAAGGUGACACGCUUCCAGGUGGAUCUCAUGGCUGAUGCAGAAGUCCCAUAGACAGAGGGCCUCCUGACAGAGAGCUGAUGAGCACAGUCCCCCUGGUCUGUUGAUGUAGAAAAUUGAGGCUGUGUUGUCUGUCAGGACUCGUACCAACUUGCUCGACAGGUGGGGCAAGACUCUGCAUGUCAGCUGGACUGCUCAGAGCUCUUUGAUGUUUAUGUGUAAGCAUGCUUCAUCCAGAGACCACAUCCCGAGUCUGGAGGACACCGAUAUGUGCCCCCCCGCUGAGGUCCGAGGCAUCUGACACCAAUUUGAUGGAGUCGGGAGGGUUGUCGAACAGAAUGCCUUCCAGGACUGAUCUGUGGUUGGUCCACCACCUCAGCGAGUAGACCCAGAGAGGGCACAUAGUGAAGCUCCGCAACAUCCCUUUGGACUUGAGACCUAGAGCUGCCCUUGACGAGCCAGUCAUCGAGGUACGGGUAGAUCUGGAUACCUCGGUGCCUGAGUACACAUGUAACCUGGGGGUCCACAACAUCUGAAGCCACUUCUUUCACUUCCCAUUAGCACUGUGAACUCAGAGAACAUACAACACCACAGCUGACCAAUCAGCCUUCAGGAACAGGUCCAUGACAUCAACUUGCAAUAUGGACCCCUCCAGUACUUCAGUUAGUCAACUGUGAUGCUACAGUUAGGUUAGCUAAUA